Molecule: ribosomal RNA, 498 nt
Filed under: Pichia sp. NRRL Y-27293
Lineage: Eukaryota; Fungi; Ascomycota; Pichiomycetes; Pichiales; Pichiaceae
Description: partial small subunit ribosomal RNA
Rfam family: Bacterial small subunit ribosomal RNA (bases 207-484)
Source: RNAcentral
UCUAACGAUUGAUCUAGUUACUUAGAAAGAUGAAGCUUAUGAUAAUUAAAUUAAAUAUUUAUAUUUAAUUUGAAUGGAAAAAUAAGAAUGAAGAAUAUAAAGUCUGGUCAAUCAAUUAAUAAUGAUAAUUGAUAUGAUUAUGUCCCAACCAAGAGUAGUGCCAGCAGUUGCGGUUAGACUACGGGGGCUUACGUUAACCAAUAGUUGGCUUAAAGCAUCCGCAGGUGAUAUUGAAAAAAUAUUAGAGUUAUUUUGGAAAAUAUUGAAGAAUUAUGGGAAGAUAUAAAAAGUAAUGAUGAUAAUUCGACAUUUAAUUAUUGAAAAUUAUAUUUCUAAAAUAACUGACACUCAGGGAUUAAGACGUGAGUAGCAAAUCGGAUUAGAUACCCGACUAGUUCACGUUGUAAACUAUGAAUGCUAUUGAUUAUAUUAUGAUUUUUUUUCAAUCUUUUAACAAUAUAAGUGAAAACUUAAGUAUUCCGCCAGGUGAGNAUAUUC